Small nucleolar RNA from Suncus etruscus (white-toothed pygmy shrew), 136 nucleotides. RefSeq annotates it as small nucleolar RNA SNORA22. The transcript has a single exon. The record is from RefSeq and is a predicted model, not a curated record. Lineage: Eukaryota; Metazoa; Chordata; Mammalia; Eulipotyphla; Soricidae.
UUGCACAGUAACACCCAAGUGUGCUUUAUAUACUCUUGAUUUUAAUUCUGUGCUCUGUGCUACAGCAAUGUCUGUUCUUUUACCUCUGCAUUGAAAGGACUACCUUUUUAAGUGUAUUCAGAAAGUCAGCACAUUA